UAGGGAAUCUUCGGCAAUGGACGCAAGCCUGACCGAGCAACGCCGCGUGCGUGAAGAAGGUUUUCGGACCGUAAAACUCUUUUGUUCGAGACGAACAAGGACGUUAGUAACUGAACGUCCCCUGACGGUAUCUAACCAGCAAGCCACGGCUAACUACGUGCCAGCAGCCGCGGUAAUACGUAGGUGGCAAGCGUUGUCCGGAUUUAUUGGGCGUAAAGCGAGCGCAGGCGGUUUCUUAAGUCUGAUGUGAAAGCCCCCGGCUCAACCGGGGAGGGUCAUUGGAAACUGGGGGACUUGAGUGCAGAAGAGGAGAGUGGAAUUCCAUGUGUAGAGGUGAAAUGCGUAGAUAUAGGGAGGAACACCAGUGGCGAAGGCGGCUAUCUGGUCUGUAACUGACGCUGAGGCGCGAAAGCGUGGGGAGCAAACAGG
RNAcentral lists this ribosomal RNA (429 nucleotides) under Gemmatimonadota bacterium. RNAcentral describes it as "Gemmatimonadetes bacterium partial 16S ribosomal RNA". It matches the Rfam family "Bacterial small subunit ribosomal RNA", at positions 355 to 776 of the family's 1533-position model. Lineage: Bacteria; Pseudomonadati; Gemmatimonadota. The record is from RNAcentral.